GAUCCUGGCUCAGGAUAAACGCUGGCGGCGCACAUAAGACAUGCAAGUCGAACGGACUUAACUCAUUCUUUUAGAUUGAGAGCGGUUAGUGGCGGACUGGUGAGUAACACGUAAGCAACCUGCCUAUCAGAGGGGAAUAACAGUGAGAAAUCAUUGCUAAUACCGCAUAAGCUAGUAGCAUCGCAUGAUGUAGCUAGAAAAGGAGCAAUCCGCUGAUAGAUGGG
This 224-nucleotide ribosomal RNA is filed under the name uncultured bacterium. Its description in RNAcentral is "partial 16S ribosomal RNA". It matches the Rfam family "Bacterial small subunit ribosomal RNA", at positions 15 to 229 of the family's 1533-position model. The record is from RNAcentral.